RNAcentral lists this long non-coding RNA (1226 nucleotides) under Marmota monax (woodchuck). The record is from RNAcentral. Lineage: Eukaryota; Metazoa; Chordata; Mammalia; Rodentia; Sciuridae.
UUUGGGGAAAGGACUGCAGGAACGAAUGAAUGGCACAGGGGGAGGCACAUGGGCAGAGAGCAGGGCCUGCUGUGGUCUGAAUGGUCCCAAGUUCAUGAACUGGAAACUUGACCCCCAAAUCUACACGUUGCUGGUACAUGGAGGUGGGGCCUUUGGGACAUUGGGGUUAGAUGAGGUCAUGAGGCUGGUGCCUCAUGAUGGCAUUAGUGGCCUUAGGAGAAGAGGAAGAGACCUGAGCUAACACACCUAUGUCACCCUGUCCUGCCCUCUGCCGUGUUAUGAAGGAGCCAAAAGCCCUCACCAGAGGCUGAGCAGACGCCAGCAUCACACUCUUGGACAUCCCAGUCUUCGAAAUUAUGAAACAAAGAAACCUUUAUUCUUUAUAAAUUACCUGAUUCCAGGCAUUAAGUUAUAGCAGCAGAAAAUGGACUAAGAGAGAUAUAGACUGGGCAAUGGAACUGUGUGUGCAUGCAUGUGUGCAUGUGUAUACGUAUGUGUUCCCUGCGGGUCCCUGCAGGACUGCAUCCCUAGAGGGGGUUGAUCACAGAGUAGGGGUGGAAGCACACUUCCUAAGACACAUCAGGGGCCAGGCUAAGCCAUCCAGGCUCUGUCUUGUGAGCAGGCCUGGCCAGGGGAGUUCUCAGAAGGAAGUGGUGCACUUGGUAAGAUGUAGGGAGCAAGCUUGUUCUGCAUUGGAGGGAGAAGGGAGCCAGCCAUGGCAGUGUCCAGCAGCCUUCCCUCCAAGAGACCAGGUCAGCCUUCAGUGCGGUUCCAGAGCUCUGGAUAGGUAGAAAAACAGCUCCUAGAACUCCUGGCUCCUGCCCCGACCUGUCUGCAGGUGGGAGACUGGCCCUCCUGCAGGACUCGCCUCCCUCCUCGGUGUGCACGGGGGGAUCCUUCCUGCGUCUCCAUGUUCCACCUGCACUUGCUAAGAUUUGUACAGAGACCCCCAUCCAGGCGGACACCUGAAGAACUUGCAGUGCUUCCUGACCUCUGACUCCCUGGUUUUGAUACUGUUACAAAAUUAAAAUUUCAAAUAGUUUCAAUGGUAAACUAAUUUCAAUAUGCAUAGAAUUCCCAUCCUGGAUGAAUCCAGUUUUAAAGGGAUCUUCAUUUUCUGAAGUUUUAAGAAACAGAUGCUCCUGGUGGACUUGAGGCAUCCUUGGUUUCUUUCAGCAAGUAAAAACAGUAAUGGAGACAUUCCACAUCACAGCACCGCUUGAAUC